Molecule: ribosomal RNA, 467 nt
Filed under: uncultured bacterium
Lineage: Bacteria
Description: partial 16S ribosomal RNA
Rfam family: Bacterial small subunit ribosomal RNA
Source: RNAcentral
GAUGAACGCUGGCGGCGUGCUUAACACAUGCAAGUCGAACGGAAAGGCCCAAGCUUGCUUGGGUACUCGAGUGGCGAACGGGUGAGUAACACGUGGGUGAUCUGCCCUGCACUUCGGGAUAAGCCUGGGAAACUGGGUCUAAUACUGGAUAGGACCACUUCUUGGAUGUUGUGGUGGAAAGUUUUUUCGGUGUGGGAUGAGCUCGCGGCCUAUCAGCUUGUUGGUGGGGUAAUGGCCUACCAAGGCGUCGACGGGUAGCCGGCCUGAGAGGGUGUACGGCCACAUUGGGACUGAGAGACGGCCCAGACUCCUACGGGAGGCAGCAGUGGGGAAUAUUGAACAAUGGGCGCAAGCCUGAUGCAGCGACGCCGCGUGGGGGAUGACGGCCUUCGGGUUGUAAAAUCCUUUCGCUAGGGACGAAGCGUUUUGUGACGGUACCUGGAGAAGAAGCACCGGCUAACUACGUG